GAUGAACGCUGGCGGCGUGCUUAACACAUGCAAGUCGAACGAAGCACUUUAUUUGAUUUCCUUCGGGACUGAUUAUUUUGUGACUGAGUGGCGGACGGGUGAGUAACGCGUGGGUAACCUGCCUUGUACAGGGGGAUAACAGUUGGAAACGGCUGCUAAUACCGCAUAAGCGCACAGCAUCGCAUGAUGCAGUGUGAAAAACUCCGGUGGUAUAAGAUGGACCCGCGUUGGAUUAGCUAGUUGGUGAGGUAACGGCCCACCAAGGCGACGAUCCAUAGCCGACCUGAGAGGGUGACCGGCCACAUUGGGACUGAGACACGGCCCAAACUCCUACGGGAAGCAGCAGUGGGGAAUAUUGCACAAUGGGCGAAAGCCUGAUGCAGCGACGCCGCGUGAGCGAAGAAGUAUUUCGGUAUGUAAAGCUCUAUCAGCAGGGAAGAUAAUGACGGUACCUGACUAAGAAGCGCCGGCUAAAUACGUG
This 481-nucleotide ribosomal RNA is filed under the name uncultured bacterium. Its description in RNAcentral is "partial 16S ribosomal RNA". It matches the Rfam family "Bacterial small subunit ribosomal RNA", at positions 28 to 507 of the family's 1533-position model. The record is from RNAcentral.